RNAcentral lists this ribosomal RNA (433 nucleotides) under uncultured bacterium. RNAcentral's name for it is "bacterial SSU rRNA". It matches the Rfam family "Bacterial small subunit ribosomal RNA", at positions 355 to 803 of the family's 1533-position model. The record is from RNAcentral.
UGGGGAAUCUUGGACAAUGGGGGCAACCCUGAUCCAGCCAUGCCGCGUGAGUGAUGAAGGCCUUAGGGUCGUAAAGCUCUUUCGCCUGUGAAGAUAAUGACGGUAGCAGGUAAAGAAACCCCGGCUAACUCCGUGCCAGCAGCCGCGGUAAUACGGAGGGGGUUAGCGUUGUUCGGAAUUACUGGGCGUAAAGCGCACGUAGGCGGACCAGAAAGUUGGGGGUGAAAUCCCGGGGGCUCAACCCCGGAACUGCCUCCAAAACUAUUGGUCUAGAGUUCGAGAGAGGUGAGUGGAAUUCCAAGUGUAGAGGUGAAAUUCGUAGAUAUUCGGUGGAACACCAGUGGCGAAGGCGGCUCACUGGCUCGAUACUGACGCUGAGGUGCGAAAGUGUGGGGAGCAAAGCAGGAUUAGAUACCCUGGUAGUCCACACCGU